UGCCCCUUGUCAGCCGUUAUGACUCGGGUA
This 30-nucleotide non-coding RNA is filed under the name Rattus norvegicus (Norway rat). The record is from RNAcentral. Lineage: Eukaryota; Metazoa; Chordata; Mammalia; Rodentia; Muridae.